This 413-nucleotide ribosomal RNA is filed under the name Agrobacterium tumefaciens. RNAcentral's name for it is "bacterial SSU rRNA". It matches the Rfam family "Bacterial small subunit ribosomal RNA", at positions 8 to 451 of the family's 1533-position model. The record is from RNAcentral. Lineage: Bacteria; Pseudomonadati; Pseudomonadota; Alphaproteobacteria; Hyphomicrobiales; Rhizobiaceae.
AGAGUUUGAUCCUGGCUCAGAACGAACGCUGGCGGCAGGCUUAACACAUGCAAGUCGAACGCCCCGCAAGGGGAGUGGCAGACGGGUGAGUAACGCGUGGGAAUCUACCGUGCCCUGCGGAAUAGCUCCGGGAAACUGGAAUUAAUACCGCAUACGCCCUACGGGGGAAAGAUUUAUCGGGGUAUGAUGAGCCCGCGUUGGAUUAGCUAGUUGGUGGGGUAAAGGCCUACCAAGGCGACGAUCCAUAGCUGGUCUGAGAGGAUGAUCAGCCACAUUGGGACUGAGACACGGCCCAAACUCCUACGGGAGGCAGCAGUGGGGAAUAUUGGACAAUGGGCGCAAGCCUGAUCCAGCCAUGCCGCGUGAGUGAUGAAGGCCUUAGGGUUGUAAAGCUCUUUCACCGGAGAAGAUAA